AUUUAAAUAGUUUAAUAAAAAUUUAAUAUUGAAGAUAUUAAGAUAAUUUAUAUUUUUAAAUA
Molecule: transfer RNA, 62 nt
Filed under: Brachymeria sp. ZJUH_2016006
Lineage: Eukaryota; Metazoa; Arthropoda; Insecta; Hymenoptera; Chalcididae
Description: tRNA-Phe
Source: RNAcentral